GUGUAUCAAUGAUGAGGAUUAACAGUUAUCCCUAUCUUAUAUCUAUGAGUGAUAAUUUUUUUCUUCUGAGAUACAC
Molecule: small nucleolar RNA, 76 nt
Organism: Bacillus rossius redtenbacheri
Lineage: Eukaryota; Metazoa; Arthropoda; Insecta; Phasmatodea; Bacillidae
Product: small nucleolar RNA R38
Exons: 1
Source: RefSeq, a predicted model, not a curated record